This 22-nucleotide non-coding RNA is filed under the name Rattus norvegicus (Norway rat). Lineage: Eukaryota; Metazoa; Chordata; Mammalia; Rodentia; Muridae. The record is from RNAcentral.
CCAAUUGAACGAAAUGUGCCAC